This 464-nucleotide ribosomal RNA is filed under the name uncultured bacterium. RNAcentral's name for it is "partial 16S ribosomal RNA". It matches the Rfam family "Bacterial small subunit ribosomal RNA", at positions 339 to 795 of the family's 1533-position model. The record is from RNAcentral.
CUACGGGCGGCUGCAGUGGGGAAUAUUGGACAAUGGGGGAAACCCUGAUCCAGCAAUGCCGCGUGUGUGAAGAAGGCCUGCGGGUUGUAAAGCACUUUCGGUUGGGAGGACUGCUUCUAGCACUAAUAUUGUUGGAAGUUGACGUUACCUUCAGAAGAAGCACCGGCUAACUCCGUGCCAGCAGCCGCGGUAAUACGGAGGGUGCAAGCGUUAAUCGGAAUACUGGGCGUAAAGCGCGCGUAGGCGGCUAGAUCAGUCGGGUGUGAAAGCCCCGGGCUUAACCUGGGAACUGCAUCCGAUACUGUCUAGCUUGAGUACAGGAGAGGAGAGUGGAAUUCCACAUGUAGCGGUGAAAUGCGUAGAUAUGUGGAGGAACACCAAUGGCGAAGGCAGCUCUCUGGCCUGAUACUGACGCUGAGGUGCGAAAGCGUGGGGAUCAAACAGGAUUAGAUACCCUUGUAGUC